RNAcentral lists this ribosomal RNA (490 nucleotides) under uncultured bacterium. RNAcentral describes it as "partial 16S ribosomal RNA". It matches the Rfam family "Bacterial small subunit ribosomal RNA", at positions 899 to 1397 of the family's 1533-position model. The record is from RNAcentral.
ACUCAAAUGAAUAGACGGGGACCCGCACAACUGGUGGAGCGUGUGGUUUAAUUCGAGACGAAGCGAAGCACCUUACCAAGGCUUGACAUGCUACCGUACAUUUCCCAAGAAAUUGGGAGAAAUCCGCAAGGAUGGUAGUACAGGUGAUGCAUGGCUGUCGUCAGCUCGUGCCGUGAGGUGUUCCCUUAAGUGGGGAAACGAGCGCAACCCGCAUCUAAUGUUAAAUAUUCAUUAGGGACAGUCCUGUUUUCAACAGGAAGGAAGGAGCGGAAGACGUCAAGUCAGCACGUCCCUUAUGCCUUGGGUUACACACACCCUACAAUGGCGAAGAACAAUGGGCUGCAAGCCGGCAACGGCAAGCGAAUCCCACAAAUUUCGCCUCAGUUCAGAUUGGGGUCUGCAACCCGACCCCAUGAAGUCGGAAUCAGUAGUAAUCGCGGAUCAGCAGGCCGCGGUGAAUACGUUCUCGGGUCUUGUACACACCGCCCGU